This 520-nucleotide ribosomal RNA is filed under the name uncultured Glomus. Its description in RNAcentral is "SSU rRNA". It matches the Rfam family "Eukaryotic small subunit ribosomal RNA", at positions 569 to 1091 of the family's 1831-position model. Lineage: Eukaryota; Fungi; Glomeromycota; Glomeromycetes; Glomerales; Glomeraceae. The record is from RNAcentral.
AGCAGCCGCGGUAAUUCCAGCUCCAAUAGCGUAUAUUAAAGUUGUUGCAGUUAAAAAGCUCGUAGUUGAAUUUCGGGGUCAGUAAGUUGGUCGUGCCACUGGUAUGCACUGGCUUUACUGACUCCUCCUUCUUGAAGAACUGUGAUGCCAUUAAUUUGGUGUUGCAGGGAAACAGGACUGUUACUUUGAAAAAAUUAGAGUGUUUAAAGCAGGCUAACGCUUGAAUACAUUAGCAUGGAAUAAUGAAAUAGGACGUUUGACCCUAUUUUGUUGGUUUCUAGGGUUGACGUAAUGAUUAAUAGGGAUAGUUGGGGGCAUUAGUAUUCAAUUGUCAGAGGUGAAAUUCUUGGAUUUAUUGAAGACUAACUACUGCGAAAGCAUUUGCCAAGGAUGUUUUCAUUAAUCAAGAACGAAAGUUAGGGGAUCGAAGACGAUCAGAUACCGUCGUAGUCUUAACCAUAAACUAUGCCGACUAGGGAUCGGAUGAUGUUAAUUUUUAAUGACUCAUUCGGCGCCUUAC